This 475-nucleotide ribosomal RNA is filed under the name uncultured soil bacterium. Its description in RNAcentral is "bacterial SSU rRNA". It matches the Rfam family "Bacterial small subunit ribosomal RNA", at positions 26 to 518 of the family's 1533-position model. The record is from RNAcentral.
AGGACGAACGCUGGCGGCGUGCUUAACACAUGCAAGUCGAGCGGUAAGGCCUUUCGGGGUACACGAGCGGCGAACGGGUGAGUAACACGUGGGUGAUCUGCCCUGCACUUCGGGAUAAGCCUGGGAAACUGGGUCUAAUACCGGAUAUGACCUCAGGUUGCAUGACUUGGGGUGGAAAGAUUUAUCGGUGCAGGAUGGGCCCGCGGCCUAUCAGCUUGUUGGUGGGGUAAUGGCCUACCAAGGCGACGACGGGUAGCCGACCUGAGAGGGUGACCGGCCACGACUGGGACUGAGACACGGCCCAGACUCCUACGGGAGGCAGCAGUGGGGAAUAUUGCACAAUGGGCGAAAGCCUGAUGCAGCGACGCCGCGUGAGGAUGACGGCCUUCGGGUUGUAAACCGUCUUUCAGCAGGACGAAGCGCAAGUGACGGUACCUGCAGAAGAAGCACCGGCUAACUACGUGCCAGCAGCCGC